RNAcentral lists this unclassified non-coding RNA (293 nucleotides) under uncultured bacterium. Its description in RNAcentral is "partial contains 16S ribosomal RNA and 16S-23S ribosomal RNA intergenic spacer region". It matches the Rfam family "Bacterial small subunit ribosomal RNA", at positions 67 to 358 of the family's 1533-position model. The record is from RNAcentral.
GGAGAAUUGAAGCUUGCUUUAAUUCUUAGUGUCGCACGGGUGAGUAACGCGUGGGUAACCUGCCCUUAAGUGGGGGACAACAGUUGGAAACGACUGCUAAUACCGCAUAAAGUUAAGAGUCUGCAUGGACUAUUAACCAAAGGAGUAAUCCGCUUUUGGAUGGACCCGCGUCUGAUUAGCUAGUUGGUGAGGUAACGGCUCACCAAGGCGACGAUCAGUAGCCGGCCUGAGAGGGUGAUCGGCCACACUGGGACUGAGACACGGCUCAUACUCCUACGGGAGGCAGCGGUGGG